This 926-nucleotide ribosomal RNA is filed under the name uncultured bacterium. RNAcentral's name for it is "bacterial SSU rRNA". It matches the Rfam family "Bacterial small subunit ribosomal RNA", at positions 1 to 917 of the family's 1533-position model. The record is from RNAcentral. RNAcentral also lists the same sequence under 1 other name.
UGGAUCCAGACUUUGAUUCUGGCUCAGGAUGAACGCUAGCUACAGGCUUAACACAUGCAAGUCGAGGGGAAACGACAUCGAAAGCUUGCUUUUGAUGGGCGUCGACCGGCGCACGGGUGAGUAACGCGUAUCCAACCUGCCCACCACUUGGGGAUAACCUUGCGAAAGUAAGACUAAUACCCAAUGAUAUCUCUAGAAGACAUCUGAAAGAGAUUAAAGAUUUAUCGGUGAUGGAUGGGGAUGCGUCUGAUUAGCUUGUUGGCGGGGUAACGGCCCACCAAGGCGACGAUCAGUAGGGGUUCUGAGAGGAAGGUCCCCCACAUUGGAACUGAGACACGGUCCAAACUCCUACGGGAGGCAGCAGUGAGGAAUAUUGGUCAAUGGGCGAGAGCCUGAACCAGCCGAGUAGCGUGCAGGAUGACGGCCCUAUGGGUUGUAAACUGCUUUUAUAAGGGAAUAAAGUGAGUCUCGUGAGACUUUUUGCAUGUACCUUAUGAAUAAGGACCGGCUAAUUCCGUGCCAGCAGCCGCGGUAAUACGGAAGGUCCGGGCGUUAUCCGGAUUUAUUGGGUUUAAAGGGAGCGUAGGCCGGAGAUUAAGCGUGUUGUGAAAUGUAGACGCUCAACGUCUGCACUGCAGCGCGAACUGGUUUCCUUGAGUACGCACAAAGUGGGCGGAAUUCGUGGUGUAGCGGUGAAAUGCUUAGAUAUCACGAAGAACUCCGAUUGCGAAGGCAGCUCACUGGAGCGCAACUGACGCUGAAGCUCGAAAGUGCGGGUAUCGAACAGGAUUAGAUACCCUGGUAGUCCGCACGGUAAACGAUGGAUGCCCGCUGUUGGUCUGAAUAGGUCAGCGGCCAAGCGAAAGCAUUAAGCAUCCCACCUGGGGAGUACGCCGGCAACGGUGCAACUCAAAGGAAUUGACGGA